Molecule: ribosomal RNA, 468 nt
Filed under: uncultured bacterium
Lineage: Bacteria
Description: partial 16S ribosomal RNA
Rfam family: Bacterial small subunit ribosomal RNA
Source: RNAcentral
GACGAACGCUGGCGGCGUGCUUAACACAUGCAAGUCGAACGGAAAGGCCCUGCUUUUGUGGGGUUCUCGAGUGGCGAUCGGGUGUGUAACACUUGUGUAACCUGCCCUUUUCUUUGGGAUAUCUUCUGGAAACUGGGGCUAAUACCGGAUAGGAUCUCCUGCUGCAUGGUGUGGUUUGGUAAGUUUCGGCGGUUGGGUAUUGACUCGCGGCUUAUCAGCUUGUUUGUGGGGUAGUGGCUUACCAAGGGUUUGACGGGUAGCCGGCAUGAGAGGGUGACCGGGCACAUUGGGACUGAGAUACGGCCCAGACUGCAACGGGAGGCAGCAGGGGGGAAUAUUGCAGAAUGGGCGGAAGCAUGAGGAAGCAACGCGGGGUGCGGGAUGACGGCCUUCGGGUUGUAAACCGAUUUGGAAUGAGACGAAGAGUGAGUGACGGUAAUGGGUAAAGAAGCAACGGCUAACUACGUG